RNAcentral lists this ribosomal RNA (599 nucleotides) under Epinephelus miliaris (netfin grouper). Its description in RNAcentral is "partial 16S ribosomal RNA". It matches the Rfam family "Bacterial large subunit ribosomal RNA", at positions 1805 to 2611 of the family's 2925-position model. The record is from RNAcentral. Lineage: Eukaryota; Metazoa; Chordata; Actinopteri; Perciformes; Serranidae.
UAUCAAAACAUCGCCUCUUGCUAAUCGAAAGUAUAAGAGGUCCCGCCUGCCUGUGACUAUAUGUUAACGGCCGCGGUAUUUUGACCGUGCGAAGGUAGCGCAAUCACUUGUCUUUUAAAUGGGGACCUGUAUGAAUGGCAUAACGAGGGCUUGACUGUCUCCUCUUUCAAGUCAAUGAAAUUGAUCUCCCCGUGCAGAAGCGGGGAUGUAUACAUAAGACGAGAAGACCCUAUGGAGCUUUAGACACUAAAGCAGAUCAGCAUUAAUACCCUGAACAUAGGGCACGAAUAUACUGAAUCCUGCCCUAAUGUCUUAGGUUGGGGCGACCGCGGAGAAACAAAAAACCCCCGCAAGGACCGAAUGUACUACAUUCACAACCAAGAGCGACAGCUCUAAUUAACAGAUAUUUCUGACCAAUAAGAUCCGGCAACGCCGAUUAAUGAACCAAGUUACCCUAGGGAUAACAGCGCAAUCUCCUCUUAGAGCCCGUAUCAACGAGGAGGUUUACGACCUCGAUGUUGGAUCAGGACAUCCUAAUGGUGCAGCCGCUAUUAAGGGUUCGUUUUGUUCAACGAUUAAAGUCCUACGUGAUCUGAGUU